AGAGAGAGACAUGCGCGCAUAUCAAUAAGCGGAGGAAAAGAAACUAACUAGGAUUCCCUCAGUAACGGCGAGUGAAGCGGGAAGAGCUCAAAUUUGAAAUCUUCAAGGUUCUACCUUGACGAAUUGUAGUUUAAAGAAGUGUUUUCUGUUGGAGUUUUGGUAAGAGUUCUUUGGAAUAGGACAUCAUAGAGGGUGAGAAUCCCGUAUUUGACCAUUAUUUCCAGCUUUGUGAUACACUUUCAAAGAGUCGGAUUGUUUGGGAAUGCAGUCCAAAAUGGGUGGUAAAUUUCAUCUAAAGCUAAAUAUUGGCGAGAGACCGAUAGCGAACAAGUACCGUGAGGGAAAGAUGAAAAGAACUUUGAAAAGGGAGUUAAACAGUACGUGAAAUUGUCAAAAGGGAAGCGUUUGACACCAGUGUUGUUUUCUCGAAAAUCAAUUAAAAAGGUUGGAUUUUGAGUAGUUAUGACUUUCAUCAGCUUGCACUCUUUCUUAUGUACUUUCUUAAUGCACUUUUCGUUAACAAGUCAACAUCAAUUUCUUUUGUUGUAAAAGGGUCAUUGGAAGGUGGCUUUCUUUUCGGAGAAAGUGUUUAUAGCCUUUGAUCUCUGCAAUCCGGAGAGACUGAGGUCUGCAGCGUAGACUCUUCGGGGUUAGAUACAUUUGUGCUAAGCUAUAGCUUUUAUAGACAACUUGUUGACUAUGAUUAGUCAUUGUAGCUUACUCGCUUAUGCUAUUUUACCUACGCUUAGGAUGUUGACAGCAGUAUAGACUGU
This 773-nucleotide ribosomal RNA is filed under the name uncultured Neocallimastigales. Its description in RNAcentral is "partial large subunit ribosomal RNA". It matches the Rfam family "Eukaryotic large subunit ribosomal RNA", at positions 23 to 637 of the family's 3401-position model. The record is from RNAcentral. Lineage: Eukaryota; Fungi; Neocallimastigomycota; Neocallimastigomycetes; Neocallimastigales.